AAUAAUACAUACUUUUCAGCAACUUGGUAGAUUCAGUACGGUGAAGAUAAAAGAGGAAAAUAAAAUAAAAUAUAUUAGCGCUAUGUUAUCACCAGCUCUUAAACCUAUUUCUAAUCCUCACAAUUGUUGCAUCACCUAACACUCUUCUCGGUUAAGAUUAUUUCUAUACAACUUUUCAAUCAUAACACUUAAGUAUGUUUUUUUUUCAUGUGGCAAUAUCUUUUGUUUUUCAUUCCCAUUAUUACCGGCAGGCAUCCUAGUUUAGUCCAAACAUGAAUUAGAUAUAAGCAAUUCUGGUCGAACAAUUGAUAAUAUAAAGAGUUUAAAGAAAGCAGUGAGCAAUUGGAAUUACAUUGCUUUUGUAAAGUUGUUGCAUUGUUUCUCGUAAAGUUAUCAGCCAAUACAACAUAUACAUAUGAAUGACUGAUGUGUACUGAUGGGAAGUGGAAGCAGGGUAUGAAUGGGAUAAUAUUCCUUUCAGUUAUUAUUUUGUUCGUUUAUUUUCCUUCAUUUUUUUCCUACUGCCCCAUCGUAAAAGCAUAUGAAAAUGAGUAUUUGUUGGAUUGUUUUCAGGCAUAGUCUGUGCAUAUGUAAUGAAGUUGUUUUUCAGCUUCAGUAAUUAUACAUAAUCGAAAAGAUACUUUUUAUGAGCCAAAUUAUUCAGCUACUAUUAAUUUUUCACCGAGAUUAUUUGAAUUUCUUUGUAAAUAUUUGGUAGCCACCCACCUCAUUUUUUUGUCUCUUUAAUCAUGUUAGUAAUCUGCCUUAGUUCUGCAGUUUUAUGCUGCCUGCUGUGAUACAUAAGGAUACAGUUCAGUACUCUGAAAUACUUGGAGCGGUCAAUGUUUGUAUAUCGGGAAAAUACCUUUAAAAGUAUAUAAAUUAUAAGGAUGAAGUAUCUGAUAAAAGAUGUGAAGGAUUCCAAGCUGGAUUAUUUGAUAAAUUUGUCAAGAAAAGCUUGGACCAUUUGGAUACUAUAUAUAAUCCUAGUAACAACUCUGGCUUUUGUGGCUAAUUUUGUCACCAUUAAUGGAACUUUUAUAUUUGAUGAUCGCGAGGCCUUAGUGAAAAAUGCAGAUGUCAACAAUCUAAGAACACCGAUAACAAGUGUGUUCGUUCAUGAUUUUUGGGGCAAGAAUAUCUCUUCUCCCGAAAGUCAUAAAUCUUAUCGACCAAUUACCAUUAUUGCAUUAAGGCUACAGCAUCAUUUAUUUGGGUCUCUAAAUCCCAAAAGCUUUCAUAAAUUUAAUAUUGGACUCCACGUUCUAAACUCCUUAAUGUGCCUAGGCGUAACAGCCACAAUUUGGGGAAAGACGGAGAAGUAUAAAGAAGGAAUUUUACUUGCUUCUUCCCUUUUUGCUGUGCAUCCAAUUCACACGGAAACAGUCGCCUCAGUUGUUGGACAAGCGGACAUGUUGUAUACAAUGUUCUGUUUGCUCGGUUUUCUAAUUUAUCAUUAUGGUCUCAUGGCAAAUAAGAGCAACAAAGGAAAUACAUUUCUACGUAAUGUAAACUGCCUUCUGAUUGUAUCAAUGCUGACAGUUUUAUCUACAUUCAGCAAGGAACAAGGAAUUAUGACAAUGGUUAUAUGUUCACUGUAUGAUAUUGUACUUCAUCAGUCGGAAAUAACGUCAAGUUUCCGUCAAAUUUGGCCGAAUGUGAAGUAUUCAACGAAAGUCAAAACGAAACGAAUAAAAGAAAAUUUAGUGACCAUAUUUUACCUUUUGUUCCGAAUAUUCUUUAUGAUAGCAAUAACUCUUCUGUUGCUAACAUUCCGGCUCAAGCUAAUGAUAAAACAACCAGUAUUUAAUAAAGAGGAUAAUCCACAUUCUUUCGUAGACAAUUUUCUUUUACGGGUUGUAAAUUACAGCUAUAUUUAUUGGUUGAACACAUGGCUUCUUUUAGACCCUUGGUGGCUCUGCUGUGAUUGGUCAUAUGAUUGCAUCCCUAUUUUGAAUUCGCCUUGGAAUUUCCGAACUUUAGCAGCCCUAUCGUUCUGGAUCCUAAUAGUUAUGAUGAGUUACAGAAUUCUCCUCUUUCGAAACACGUCAAUGGCACGGAAAAUUUCGUUAUCUCUAAUAUUUUGGAUCGUUCCGUUUACUCCGGCAAGCAACAUGUUCUUUCGAGUUGGCUUUGUUAUUGCUGAAAGAAAUCUCUACUUACCCAGCCUUGGCUUCUGUAUAGCUAUUUCACUUGGCUUCUGUAUAUUACGAGAAAGUCACCCACAUCGGUCGCAGAUUCUUAAAACAGCAGCUGUAUGCCUGACUUUUGUAUUCAUCGUCAGGUCUCACCAGAGAAACAAAGAUUGGCUCGAUGGGAAACGAUUAUUUCAUUCAGGCCUUAAAGUGUGCCCAAAUAAUGCCAAGCUUUACUUUAAUAUUGCUGUUGGAUACCUUCAUCAUAAAGAAUAUAAAUCUGCGAAGAAUUACUUUUCUGAGACUGUAAGGAAAUAUCCUCAAUUUGUGUCUGCUUACACUGGUUUGGGACAAUGCUAUAUGAACCUGGAGAAUUAUACAAAAGCAGAGUAUUAUUAUCAAAUAGCUACGAAUAUCAGUUCACAGAUAGAUCGAGAAGACGUCUUAUGGAACUUGUGUUACGUAAAAUUCAAAUUGAAGAAAACGGAAGAAGCCAAACAUUGUAUAAACACUUUGAUACACAAUUACCCAUUGUCGGCGUACAAGGCAUAUUAUGGGCUUGCAGAAAUAUAUUAUUAUAAUGGUGAAAAACAAAAGGCUCUGCAAGCAUGGAUGAAAGCAAUUGAAUUAAAUUCCACAGAUUCAGCAGCUUGGGAAAGUGUUGUUGUUUACCUACACCAUCUGAAUCAUUAAAAUGGAAUGUCAAGUUAAGAAAAACGAGCAUUUUCGACACCUCCUUCUUUUUGCUUUUAAUCAAGGUCCUAAGGCCGCAAAAGCUUCUCGCGACAUUUGUGCUGUGUAUGCCAUAGCUGAGAAUUGCUAAGAAGUUUUACAGUUUUGGAUGCGAAUGUAAAACACGAGAUUUCAUCAUUAGUGCUUCCCACAUACAAUCACGUCUCGCUUGAACCAUGUUUAAAAAUGCUUGGUCUUCCUCUUUUGAAAAGCCGCUCGAACUUAUAAAAGGAGCGAUAUGCACACAGGCGAAUAAAUAAGUGCAGAACAAGGCAAAAGAAAAUAAUAGUACUCGAAUACCAAAGGUAGUGCAAUAUACUUUUUAU
Octopus bimaculoides (California two-spot octopus) is the source of this 3193-nucleotide unclassified non-coding RNA. The record is from RefSeq and is a predicted model, not a curated record. Lineage: Eukaryota; Metazoa; Mollusca; Cephalopoda; Octopoda; Octopodidae.